Molecule: ribosomal RNA, 253 nt
Filed under: uncultured bacterium
Lineage: Bacteria
Description: partial 16S ribosomal RNA
Rfam family: Bacterial small subunit ribosomal RNA
Source: RNAcentral
UACGAAGGGGGCUAGCGUUGUUCGGAAUCACUGGGCGUAAAGGGCGCGUAGGCGGCUUUGUCAGUCGGGGGUGAAAGCCUGUGGCUCAACCACAGAAUUGCCUUCGAUACUGCAGGGCUUGAGACCGGAAGAGGUCAGUGGAACUGCGAGUGUAGAGGUGAAAUUCGUAGAUAUUCGCAAGAACACCAGUGGCGAAGGCGGCUGACUGGUCCGGAUCUGACGCUGAGGCGCGAAAGCGUGGGGAGCAAACAGG